Cyanistes caeruleus (blue tit) is the source of this 307-nucleotide non-coding RNA. The record is from RefSeq and is a predicted model, not a curated record. Lineage: Eukaryota; Metazoa; Chordata; Aves; Passeriformes; Paridae.
GGCUGGGAUAAGGCAGUCUGCUCUUAGUCCCAUCCAGCAGAGCCCUUCUAUCCAUAGAAAUGAUUAAAAAUUAACUAGGCGAGGAAGACAGAUCGACUUUAUCGGUUAAGGUCUAGGGGAGUGCCCUAGAUAGGUCCUGCCCUGACAUGAAGGAACCUCAGGCCAUAAACUUCAGAAGGAUGGAUGAUGGGCAUCUGAUGUUCCCCAAAAGAAGAGAGAGCUCUUGCCUGAUGAACUAGAGACACCUGCCACGAUCGAAGGGCUUCUGAUGGUGACAACCCUGGAAAUGCCAGGGCAGGCAGGAUCC